CCUACGGGAGGCAGCAGUAGGGAAUAUUGCGCAAUGGGGGGAACCCUGACGCAGCAACGCCACGUGUGGGAAGAAGCAUUUCGGUGUGUAAACCACUGUCGGAAAGGAAUAACGGAAGACUUCGGUCUUUAUGAAUGUACUUUUAGAGGAAGCACCGGCAAACUUCGUGCCAGCAGCCGCGGUA
RNAcentral lists this ribosomal RNA (184 nucleotides) under uncultured bacterium. Its description in RNAcentral is "partial 16S ribosomal RNA". It matches the Rfam family "Bacterial small subunit ribosomal RNA", at positions 338 to 522 of the family's 1533-position model. The record is from RNAcentral.